Molecule: ribosomal RNA, 207 nt
Filed under: uncultured bacterium
Lineage: Bacteria
Description: partial 16S ribosomal RNA
Rfam family: Bacterial small subunit ribosomal RNA
Source: RNAcentral
UGCGUAGGCGGGUUUCUAAGUCAGAGGUGAAAGCCUGGAGCUCAACUCCAGAACUGCCUUUGAUACUGGAAGUCUUGAGUAUGGCAGAGGUGAGUGGAACUGCGAGUGUAGAGGUGAAAUUCGUAGAUAUUCGCAAGAACACCAGUGGCGAAGGCGGCUCACUGGGCCAUCACUGACGCUGAGGCACGAAAGCGUGGGGAGCAAACA